AGGGGAAUAGCUCAGCGGUUAGAGCAGUGGUCUCAUAAACCUCAGGUCGAGAGUUCGAUCCUCUCUUCCCCUA
This 73-nucleotide transfer RNA is filed under the name archaeon. RNAcentral's name for it is "tRNA-Met". It matches the Rfam family "tRNA". From Rfam's summary of the family: Transfer RNA (tRNA) molecules are approximately 80 nucleotides in length. Their secondary structure includes four short double-helical elements and three loops (D, anti-codon, and T loops). The record is from RNAcentral.